GAUGAACGCUGGCGGCGUGCUUAAUACAUGCAAGUCGAGCGAAUGGAUUAAGAGCUUGCUCUUAUGAAGUUAGCGGCGGACGGGUGAGUAACACGUGGGUGACCUGCCCAUAAGACUGGGAUAACUCCGGGAAACCGGGGCUAAUACCGGAUAACAUUUUGAACCGCAUGGUUCGAAAUUGAAAGGCGGCUUCGGCUGUCACUUAUGGAUGGACACGCGUCGCAUUAGCUAGUUGGUGAGGUAACGGCUCACCAAGGCAACGAUGCGUAGCCGACCUGAGAGGGUGAUCGGCCACACUGGGACUGAGACACGGCCCAGACUCCUACGGGAGGCAGCAGUAGGGAAUCUUCCGCAAUGGACGAAAGUCUGACGGAGCAACGCCGCGUGAGUGAUGAAGGCUUUCGGGUCGUAAAACUCUGUUGUUAGGGAAGAACAAGUGCUAGUUGAAUAAGCUGACACCUUGACGGUACCUAACCAGAAAGCCACGGCUAACUACGUGCCAGCAGCCGCAGUAA
RNAcentral lists this ribosomal RNA (515 nucleotides) under uncultured bacterium. RNAcentral's name for it is "partial 16S ribosomal RNA". It matches the Rfam family "Bacterial small subunit ribosomal RNA", at positions 28 to 523 of the family's 1533-position model. The record is from RNAcentral.